AAAGUCGUAACAAGGUUUCCGUAGGUGAACCUGCGGAAGGAUCAUUAUUGAAGGGGAAGGAAACUUCCCCAAAAAGUAUGAAACCCUUGUCUAUGAGUACUAUCGUUUCCUCGGCAGGCUUGCCUGCCAAUGGGGACCCUUAUCAAUCUUUUAAUAAUGUUGUAACCGUAACCAAACAAAUAAUCAAAACUUUCAACAACGGAUCUCUUGGUUCUG
Molecule: unclassified non-coding RNA, 216 nt
Filed under: Ascomycota sp.
Lineage: Eukaryota; Fungi; Ascomycota
Description: partial contains small subunit ribosomal RNA, internal transcribed spacer 1, and 5.8S ribosomal RNA
Rfam family: Eukaryotic small subunit ribosomal RNA (bases 1-47)
Source: RNAcentral